This 505-nucleotide ribosomal RNA is filed under the name uncultured bacterium. RNAcentral describes it as "partial 16S ribosomal RNA". It matches the Rfam family "Bacterial small subunit ribosomal RNA", at positions 28 to 507 of the family's 1533-position model. The record is from RNAcentral.
GACGAACGCUGGCGGCGUGCCUAAUACAUGCAAGUAGAACGCACAGUUUAUACCGUAGCUUGCUACACCAUAGACUGUGAGUUGCGAACGGGUGAGUAACGCGUAGGUAACCUGCCUGGUAGCGGGGGAUAACUAUUGGAAACGAUAGCUAAUACCGCAUAAUAUUAAUUAUUGCAUGAUAAUUAAUUGAAAGGUGCAAUUGCACCACUACCAGAUGGACCUGCGUUGUAUUAGCUAGUAGGGGAGGUAACGGCUCACCUAGGCGACGAUACAUAGCCGACCGGAGAGGGUGAUCGGCCAGCCUGGGACUGAGACACGGCCCAGACUCCUACGGGAGGCAGCAGUAGGGAAUCUUCGGCAAUGGACGAAAGUCUGACCGAGCAACGCCGCGUGAGUGAAGAAGGUUUUCGGAUCGUAAAGCUCUGUUGUAAGAGAAGAACGGGUGUGAGAGUGGAAAGUUCACACUGUGACGGUAUCUUACCAGAAAGGGACGGCUAACUACGUG